UAUUGCCUACGGGGCGCAGCAGUGGGGAAUAUUGCACAAUGGGGGAAACCCUGAUGCCGCGACGCCGCGUGAAGGAAGAAGUAUUUCGGUAUGUAAACUUCUAUCAGCAGGGAAGAAAAUGACGGUACCUGACUAAGAAGCCCCGGCUAACUACGCGCCAGCAGCCGCGGUAAUACGUAGGGGGCAAGCGUUAUCCGGAUUUACUGGGUGUAAAGGGAGCGUAGGCGGUUUAGCAAGUCAGAAGUGAAAGCCCGGGGCUCAACUCCGGGACUGCUCUUGAAACUGUUGAACGAGAUUGCAG
RNAcentral lists this ribosomal RNA (301 nucleotides) under uncultured bacterium. RNAcentral describes it as "bacterial SSU rRNA". It matches the Rfam family "Bacterial small subunit ribosomal RNA", at positions 333 to 651 of the family's 1533-position model. The record is from RNAcentral.